Molecule: non-coding RNA, 2474 nt
Organism: Podarcis lilfordi (Lilford's wall lizard)
Lineage: Eukaryota; Metazoa; Chordata; Lepidosauria; Squamata; Lacertidae
Source: the annotation of a GenBank genome assembly
GGACAAGAUGAAGGAGCACCUCCUGCCAGUAAUUGGGUCCUAGGUCCCAGGAAACUCAUAAAUGAGAUCCCAGCUUGAAGCCAUGGGGAGCGCUAGGCGGUUGGUUUUGAGAGAUGCCAUUUAUAUUUACAGCAAAUUGUCCCUGAUGUAGCCAUGUACAUUUACAUCCCACUUUUAAUCCAGUGAGGUCAACAUGACUGUUCCCAUGUUAUCCUCGUAACAACCCAAUGAGUGGUAAGUUAGGUGAAGAUCAAUGAACUUCAUGGCUGAGUAGGAAUUUGAACCUGGGUCUCUGUGGUCUCCGUGCUAUCCUUUUACCCAUCAACAGCUACUGUUUAAAGGGCAGGGAGAGUUUGGGUCCUGGCAACUGCUCUAGAAUGCCACAAUCUGACACUAGGCCCACUAAGGACCCCAGAGUCUUGACAACUAUUGACUUCAUAUUUGGUUUCCCACAGAGAAACCCCCCAGUGUCAAAUAUGACAAGCUACAUGCCAGUCCUAGGCUAACUGCUGCAUAUUAGCGCCUUCUAUUUGGGGCAUAUGAAAUGGUCACUUUCUUUGGAUGAUAGAAGAAAAAUCCUGGAGACAUAGGCUCAGAAUGCAUCCACGCUGUCUUUCAUGAUCAUUUAUUAAUUUCAUCUAUAGCCUGCCUUUUCCUGCAAGGAGCAGUGAAAACAGAAUUCAUCCUCUUAAGACGAUGAGUUUUUUCCGCCCUCCUCCUUUCAAUGACUGCUGGUUAUGCACACAUAUGUCUUUCCACCCCAACACCUGAUUUUGUUGGGCAAUAGAAAACAAACAAGGAACAGACUUAGGAAUGUUGGCAUGGGGUUAAGAUGUGCAAGUUUUGUGUUGGUGUUUUUUUUUAAAGGACAAUUGCACUUCCCCUUGAAGGAAGCAAUAAGGUGUCUCCUGGGGGAAAUUGCUGAAUAGGUGGGCAUGUGCAAAAUCAGGUUGAUCUAUUUCUGUUUUUAAACAGAGCGGCAAAAAACAUCAUAGUCCCCCGACUGAACAGUAGGCAGGAAGAGGAGAUUCAGAAUAGUCUCCAGGGGUGGUUGGUGCCCAUUGAGACUAGACAGAAGACAGAGAGGCCACAGGCACAGCCAACUAAUUCUAGUUUUGUCCCCAUCCUCCUCUCUGCCAAGUGCUACAAAGGCAACACGGAAACUAAGGAGCAGGAAACUGACAGCCAGAACCACCUCAUGGACUGGAUAUUAGUAAGUAGGCAGGCAUGUGGAGUCUAGUUCAAGUUAGGGCAUUCACCCUAAUGGACAAGCAAAUCUUGCACAAGAUGCAGAGAACAAUCUAACAAUCACUACUGAAUCUGGUGUGAUGUAAGAAGCCACAUCUGUUUAUUCAUCUGCCUGUCCCAUUUACGCAUAAAGCAAUAAUGUUUCCAAUGAAAAAAGUGCAUGCAGAUAAAGGGAACUGAAUUCUUCUCUCUGUCCUGCCUCCUGCACUGUGCUCAGUUUCUUCCAGCAGCCUGAUACCAAAAGGAGCCACCAUGCCAUCUUACAAAUUGCUUAUGAAUAUGAGUGAAUGUUACAGCAUGUUGCAAGGUGGUCUUUCUCUGUGAGAGAUACACAUGCUAUAAAGAGAUGUACCUAAUUGGCAUUGCAAGGCUGUAGGCUGAAAAUGAAGUCUUUCUUUGUUUCUUAGGGCCUCCUCAGUAUGUUUUUAGGGUACCUAUGGUGUUUUGAGCAUACAUUUAAAAGUCUAAAUUAUAGAUUCCACUUAGGCAUACCAGCAUUAUUGCACAAUUCCCCAGAUACCCCCUGUACUUUGAAGCAAUGCAAUAUACAAUCCUAAAUUCUUAAUAUGAAAGGUUUCACCAAAGGCAUUUGGUUAUGCCAGUCUCAAGAACUAGAGUGCAAAUGGGAAUCUGCGGCCUUUUCAGAUGUUGUUGGACAUCAGCCCCAGCCAGCGUGGCCAGGGACCAGGAAUGACGACAGGAGCUGUAGUCCAGUAACAUCUGGAGAGCCACAGGUUUCCCAUCCCUGGAUCAGUAGAGAUAAACCAGAGACGUAGCUAUGGGUGGGGAGGGGCUAGCGAGGCUUUUUGCCCAAGGUGAAGCCUCCAGAGGGCCCCAUUGAGGGACCAUCCUCUGUGUCUGUGUGUGCACACGCAUGCACACACACACACACACACACACACAAAUAAAUGUGUGUGGAUGUGGGUGUGUGCCAAACUGGGUCUUUGACCCAGGUGAAAUGAAUCCUAGUUUUGCCCCUGAAUCUUUGUGUGUGUGGUUAAUCCUUUUUUUCCAGGUGGUGGCAGUAGGUCCAGAAGGGCCAAAACGUGGUUGGCCUGAUUCCACUUCAAGCAACUUUGUCAGAGUUAAAGCAAAUAAGCAGAAUUCAAACUUCUCGCCAGGGGAGCCAUCUCCCUCCACCAACUGAGACACAAGAAUUUUCUGAUUUUUCUGUUUAUCAUUUGAUAAAUAAUAGUAACCCAUUUGAUAUAAAAGCAAUAAUUUUA